This 456-nucleotide ribosomal RNA is filed under the name uncultured bacterium. RNAcentral's name for it is "bacterial SSU rRNA". It matches the Rfam family "Bacterial small subunit ribosomal RNA", at positions 55 to 507 of the family's 1533-position model. The record is from RNAcentral.
UAGCAAGUCGAGGGACAGCACAGGUAGCAAUACUGGGUGGUAACCGGCAAACGGGUGCGGAACACGUACACGACCUUCCUUUAAGUGGGGGAUAGCCCAGAGAAAUUUGGAUUAAUACCCCGUAACACAGUGAGUUGGCAUCAACUUAUUGUUAUAGCUACGGCGCUUGAUGAUGGGUGUGCGGCUGAUUAGAUAGUUGGCGAGGUAACGGCUCACCAAGUCUACGAUCAGUAGCUGAUGUGAGAGCAUGAUCAGCCACACGGGCACUGAGACACGGGCCCGACUCCUACGGGAGGCAGCAGUAAGGAAUAUUGGUCAAUGGACGCAAGUCUGAACCAGCCAUGCCGCGUGAAGGAUUAAGGUCCUCUGGAUUGUAAACUUCUUUUAUUUGGGACGAAAAGGGUCUUUCUAGAUCAACUGACGGUACCAGAUGAAUAAGCACCGGCUAACUACGUG